AUUGAACGCUGGCGGCAUGCUUUACACAUGCAAGUCGAACGGUAACAGGCCGCAAGGUGCUGACGAGUGGCGAACGGGUGAGUAAUGCAUCGGAACGUGCCCAGUCGUGGGGGAUAACUACUCGAAAGAGUAGCUAAUACCGCAUACGAUCUAUGGAUGAAAGCGGGGGACCGUAAGGCCUCGCGCGAUUGGAGCGGCCGAUGUCAGAUUAGGUAGUUGGUGGGGUAAAGGCUCACCAAGCCAACGAUUUGUAGCUGGUCUGAGAGGACGACCAGCCACACUGGGACUGAGACACGGCCCAGACUCCUACGGGAGGCAGCAGUGGGGAAUUUUGGGCAAUGGGCGCAAGCCUGAUCCAGCAAUGCCGCGUGCAGGAAGAAGGCCUUCGGGUUGUAAACUGCUUUUGUACGGAACGAAACGGCUCUGGUUAAUACCCGGGGCUAAUGACGGUACCGUAAGAAUAAGCACCGGCUAACUACGUG
RNAcentral lists this ribosomal RNA (482 nucleotides) under uncultured bacterium. Its description in RNAcentral is "partial 16S ribosomal RNA". It matches the Rfam family "Bacterial small subunit ribosomal RNA", at positions 30 to 507 of the family's 1533-position model. The record is from RNAcentral.